This 415-nucleotide ribosomal RNA is filed under the name uncultured bacterium. RNAcentral describes it as "bacterial SSU rRNA". It matches the Rfam family "Bacterial small subunit ribosomal RNA", at positions 358 to 771 of the family's 1533-position model. The record is from RNAcentral.
GGAAUAUUGGUCAAUGGAUGCAAGUCUGAACCAGCCAUGCCGCGUGCAGGAAGAAGGCCUUCUGGGUUGUAAACUGCUUUUGCCAGGGGAUACAAUUUCCUUGCGAGGAAAAUUGAAGGUACCUGGUGACUAAGCCACGGCUACCUACGUGCCAGCAGCUGCGGUAAUCCGUAGGUGGCAAGCGUGGUCCGGAUUUAUUGGGUUUAAAGGGUGCGUAGGCGGCUUUGUAAGUCAGUGGUGAAAUAUAGCAGCUUAACUGUUAGGGUGCCAUUGAUACUGCAGAGCUUGAGUACAGAUGAGGUAGGCGGAAUUGACGGUGUAGCGGUGAAAUGCUUAGAUAUCGUCAAGAACACCUAUAGCGAAGGCAGCUUACUAGGCUGUAACUGACGCUGAGGCACGAAAGUGUGGGGAUCAA